UACGAAGGGUGCAAGCGUUACUCGGAAUCACUGGGCGUAAAGCGUGCGUAGGCGGUUUCUUAAGUCUGUCGUGAAAGCCCUGGGCUCAACCUGGGAACGGCGAUGGAUACUGGGAAGCUAGAAUGUGAGAGAGGAUGGUGGAAUUCCUGGUGUAGCGGUGAAAUGCGCAGAUAUCAGGAAGAAUACCGAUGGCGAAGGCAGCUCUCUGGGACGGUACUGACGCUGAGACGCGAAAGCGUGGGGAGCGAACAGG
RNAcentral lists this ribosomal RNA (253 nucleotides) under uncultured bacterium. RNAcentral's name for it is "partial 16S ribosomal RNA". It matches the Rfam family "Bacterial small subunit ribosomal RNA", at positions 524 to 776 of the family's 1533-position model. The record is from RNAcentral.